Equus caballus (horse) is the source of this 4047-nucleotide long non-coding RNA. Lineage: Eukaryota; Metazoa; Chordata; Mammalia; Perissodactyla; Equidae. The record is from Ensembl.
CCACCGUGCCUCUGGAGGGGCAGGAGAGGGAGAGAGGGCCGUGCAGCGUCACAGUAGAUGGGCCUCCGGCAGCCCUGCAGUCUCCUUCCGCCUGGACGGUCCACCAGGAGGGAGGACCCAGAUAUCCUCGGGGUGGUUAGGAGGGGCUCAGAAUGAGCCUGUGUACCUCGGACUCCCGGAUGAGGGGAAACAAAGAGACCCCUGUGGACCAAGGGCUGGAAACCGGCAAGUGGAGCCUGAGACUUUCUAGCAGGUGCCUGUGAUGGAGCAGCGGUAACAUGGACGGCUGCCACCCAGGGGUCUCUCUCACCUCUUCUGCCUCGCCUCUCCUGAUGCUUCUUCUACCACGUCUCUCUGACUCCAGCUGGAGAAAUUUCUCUGCUUUUGAGGCUCAAGUGAUUAGAUGGGACCCAUCAGAUAAUUCCGGAGAAUAUUAAAACAUGGAGGCGGAUGGAACUCAAAGGACAGACCUGAGACAGAGCCUGCAGAGAACUUCGUCUUGCUAUUGUCACGGAGCAUGACGAAGGUGACAGAGCCUACUUGACGUGCACUUGUGGAAAGUGGAAGCACUCUGAAGUUCAGGCGGAUCUAGCUUCUGCAACUUGCCAUUUUGUGCACUGGGACAAGCAAUCUUGGGCUUCAGUUCUUCAAAUGUAAGAUGAGAGUACUCAAGUGGGACAGGGAAGGGGAAGAGGCCCAGCAAAGUCUGAAAGCUGCAACUCUGGCACAGUGAGGUGGAGCUACACACAGAGCUUCUGCUUCAGUGUUUCAGAUGCUGCUUAGGAGAGUGAAUAGCAGAUGCAAGACAUGGAUGCUGUGUUGGAAGUGAAACAAACAUCAUUAUUGGUUGAAUGUUGACCGUGACACAGGACACAUGGUCAAAACCUCCAAGACCUUGCACUAAAAGAAGCAAAAUGUACAUGUCAAGAGUCCUGUCCUUCUCAGCAAAGGUUAGCUCAGCACUUGACCAGAUUGCGGAAGCAGAACUUCUGUAGAAAGGUUGGGACUAUGUAUCUUUUGGGAAAGAUGAGAAGGAGAAAAAGAACUGUCAUCCUAAGAGAAUAUUCCAGCAUAGGAUUCUCACCAUAAUCCUAUUGGCGCAGCAUGCUGGUAGUGGAAGGUGAGCCAAGUGCCAUUUGAAGAUGGAUUCCAAGGAGAGGAUGGCCACUGGACAUGUGAGGUCACAGAUUUUGAAUGUGGGAAGGCGCACAGAUGGAAUCUCAGAGCUGUCUCAGAGGUUCACUUGAGGAGAGCACAGUGGGAGAGAAGAUGAACCGAAGAACCUCCAGGUUCUGGGGGACAAGGAAGUGUGGACGGGAAUCACCAAGUUCUAGCUCCACUCUGCCGGAUGGUGUGAUGUGGUGGUUGAGAACAGAGACUCCAGAACCAGGUUUAUGGAUUCAAACCCCGGCUCUACCAUUUAUCCGUCGUGUGACUUUGGGAGCAAUUCUUUCAGCUGCGUCUGAUAUGGUAGAUGAUUUCCAGCUGCAUUUCUGGAAGCUUUUCAGGAGCCAUGGCAGGAAGGAGGAAGCUACACGGACUUUAACCAAGUGUCUGCAAAUUGCACAAGGCUGGGGACCCUGGAUUUGCCCCAUUCUUUGGUACAAUUUUUUGGUUCAAAUUUAAAUCUGGGGGCAGCACUAGGUCACCGGUCGUGCACACGCCAUCACAUAAAUAAAAUAGCCCCAGAACAAGACUUCUGUGAAAAUUAUGGUAGAACACAGACUCCAAUAAAUCCUCCUGUUGCAAUGGAGAGGAAGGGCAUGUCAGUAUGUACUAGGGGCAGAAAACACGUCCCAGCAGAUGCAUAAUUACUUUCUGAGGGAUGCCUGUGACUCACGCCUGCCCAGUCUCAGGAUUGCCUCUCCUCAUUAGCUUGUGAUAUUGCAUGUCUCUGCCUGAAGGUCAUUUUGAAUGCAAUGGCCAGGAAUAGCAAAUGGAAAAAGAACUGAAAAAGCCCCACUCGUGGAACUGUCAACAUAAUAAAGUUUCAAAUUAGAUAUCAAAUAGCACUUCAGUGUUUUGUUUCUUAAAGUGAUGUUAAUUUGCCUUGUGGGAAUCUUGUGUGUAUCUAUUCUUAAGGUAACUGGGCGAAUAUCUCUUUUCAUAAGUGACUGUCCUUAAAGAUGGAAAUAAAUCUCAGAGUGUGGGGUAAUGAGCUGAGAGCCUUCAGGACACUCACAGCCAUCGAACACUACACAGCAGGCUCCUGAUUUAGAUGCAGCCCCUUCAUUGUUAAGUGCUCUGCUUCUGAGAGUCCACAGAGAACUAACUUCACCUAAACUGCAGAGUCCCCGGCGUUGAUCUGAAGGACUAAUUCUCAUCCUCUCCAUCACCGGGAGGCAUACAAACGUCUUUGGGGCAGCUUUUGGCAGCUUAAAAGUCACUUGCACAGAUCACAGGUGUUCGCUGUGAGGUGGGUGCUCACAUUCUCAUUUUAUAGACGAGGAAAUUCAAGCCCAGCAAAUGGUAUGUCUUGAUUAAACUCUCAACACUUACAAGGAAAGACCUGGGCCCUAAACCCCACCUUCUGACUCAAAAUCUAAUUGUAUUUCUGUUGCCUCUUGUAAGGAAGACAGCACAGUGCAGUUGGCAAGGCCUACAGUGGCAGAUUCCAUUCUCUACCACCCAUGUGAUCUUGGUUCCAGAAGCUGCUGGAUAAUCAGGUGGGACCUGAUUAUCACAAUUGGUUUCUGGUGUUGGAGAAGGGAAGGUAGACCCUCAUUUAUUGACUGUGUGUGUAAGGCUCUUUGCAUUAGCACGGUUAAUCCAUCUGGCCCUGCAGAGGGGCGUGCAGAGCUGCAGCACCGUCUGACUUCAGGGACUGUGUUUACCCCUUCGUCUUACUACUUCCAGGAUUUCUUCAUGCUCUUUGUCAGGACCUGUGGUGGAGCAAAGAAAACAGGAAUGGGUAGUCAACAACUUUAAGAUCUUGUCAGCUGAGACAAUCCUGUCUUAAAGUACAAGAGUGCGAAUAGCUUUGCCAGAGAAAUUCUCCAGUGAUUUCACAGAGACCAGUCUGAAGAGGGUAACUUUGAUACCUGCAGAGGAAUGUGCUUGCUUUUGACCGGUUCGCUAACACUAAGGUCUCUACAGAAAACAGUGCUAUCAAACGUAUGAUGCGGAAAUUGGGUGUUGGAUUUCGUUUGGCAUAAGCUGCUUCCACGGAUUCACCACAAGGAGACCACGUUCUCCUUCUUGAACUCUGUGAGCUUAAAGUACAGGCUGUCCUAUUGAGUGAGUUGUGUGGGGCCAUUUUCAAGUCUAGAAGUCCUUUAUAAUGCUUCCUAUUGGGUAUAUGGCAUCCCAUUGGAGUCACAUCAUUCGUCAACUGAGGAUAACGACAAAGGCCAAAGAUAGCUCUAACAGCUGCUCUUUGGAUAGAUCCAAGUAAAACAUCGACCUCUCCCUCUGCCUGCCCAUCCACACCAACCAUAAAAUAAUUUGUAUGUAAAAUACUGUUUUCCAAACUUCUCCAAUAACAUGAGAGGGAUCCACCUACAGAAAAGGCUGCAAACAACUGCGAGAUGCCCAGAGUCGGAGAACUUCCAACGUUGGUUAAUUCAGUGGCUGUGAUGUCAUCAAGGACCCACUAUCCAUCCAUCUUUCUACUCUGUCAUCUUCAGCAGUUUGGUUUGUCCUCUUAGGCUGGCUCCCAUGAUGGUACCAGAUGGCUCUUUCAUUACAGUAGUGUGAACUCUGGAAAGUUCUCCAAAGCCUGCUUGGAUGCUUCCACUGAUGGAGAACUCAGCCCCUGGAUCAGCCAAGCAAAGAUCCCACCCAUCUACAUUCUCAGGAGGGGCAUUCAAGAAAAAUAGGGUACGUGGGAGAAGAUAGAAGAUGGGGAAGUCAACCUCUGCUUAAUCUCUUCAGCCUAGAGAUAACACUCCUCACUUCUGCUCAUAUUCCACUGAUAUGAGCCAGUUUCUUGGAGCCACCUAGGUGACAGAUGAAGGAGGAACUGGGAAGUGUGGUUCAUAUCUGGUGGCCACUUUUCAGAUCCAAGGAGAUUUUGUGCCUGAUGAUUUAAUAAAAUGUAUGUUGAGC